GAUGAACGCUGGCGGCGUGCCUAAUACAUGCAAGUCGAGCGAACGGACGAGAAGCUUGCUUCUCUGAUGUUAGCGGCGGACGGGUGAGUAACACGUGGAUAACCUACCUAUAAGACUGGGAUAACUUCGGGAAACCGGAGCUAAUACCGGAUGAUAUUUUGAACCGCAUGGUUCAAAAGUGAAAGACGGUCUUGCUGUCACUUAUAGAUGGAUCCGCGCUGCAUUAACUAGUUGGUAAGGUAACGGCUUACCAAGGCAACGAUGCAUAGCCGACCUGAGAGGGUGAUCGGCCACACUGGAACUGAGACACGGUCCAGACUCCUACGGGAGGCAGCAGUAGGGAAUCUUCCGCGAUGGGCGAAAGCCUGACGGAGCAACGCCGCGUGAGUGAUGAAGGUCUUCGGAUCGUAAAACUCUGUUAUUAGGGAAGAACAUAUGUGUAAGUAACUGUGCACAUCUUGACGGUACCUAAUCAGAAAGCCACGGCUAACUACGUG
Molecule: ribosomal RNA, 497 nt
Filed under: uncultured bacterium
Lineage: Bacteria
Description: partial 16S ribosomal RNA
Rfam family: Bacterial small subunit ribosomal RNA
Source: RNAcentral